RNAcentral lists this ribosomal RNA (1313 nucleotides) under metagenome. Its description in RNAcentral is "bacterial SSU rRNA". It matches the Rfam family "Archaeal small subunit ribosomal RNA", at positions 122 to 1445 of the family's 1478-position model. The record is from RNAcentral.
UGGGAUAACCUUGGGAAGCUGAGGCUAAGCCCGGAUAGAAGAUGGAGGCUGGAAUGCACCUUCUUUUAAAGGCAACACCUAAGGAUGAGACGGCGGCGGAUUAGGUUGUUGGUGAGGUAACGGCUCACCAGGCCAAAGAUCCGUACGGGCCAUGAGAGUGGUAGCCCGGAGAAGGACACUGAGAAACUGGUCCUAGCCCUACGGGGUGCAGCAGGCGCGAAAACUUUACAAUGCACGAAAGUGUGAUAAGGGAAUCCUAAGUGCUCAUACACAGUAUGGGCUUUUGCCAUGGGUAAAUACCUUGGAGAAUAAGUGGUGGGAAAGACUGGUGCCAGCAGCCGCGGUAACCCCAGCGCCACAAGUGGGAGCCACAAUUAUUUGGCCUAAAGCGUCCGUAGCUGGCUUGGUAAAUCUUUUGUGAAAUCGGAAGGCCCAACCUUCCGGCGUGCAGAAGACACUGCCUGGCUUGAGACCGGGAGGGGUAAGGAGUAUUCCUAGGGAACCGGUAAAAUGGGAUAAUCCUAGGAAGACUACCUGUGGCGAAGGCGCCUUACCAGCACGGGUUUGACAGUGAGGGACGAAGGCUAGGGGAGCAAACCGGAUUAGAUACCCGAGUAGUCCUAGCAGUAAACGCUGCCGGCUAGGUGUUGCACCAUCCAUGUGAUUGUGCAGUGUCGUAGCGAAGGCAUUAAGCCGGCCGCCUGGGAAGUAUGGUCGCAAGACUGAAACUUAAAGGAAUUGGCGGGGGAGCACCACAAGGGGUGCGGCGUGCGGUUUAAUCCAACUCAACGCGGUGAAUCUCACCAGAGGCGACGGCAGUAUGAAGCUCAGUCUAAAGGGCUUAGCUAACGAGCCGAGAGGUGGUGCAUGGCCGUCGUCAGCUCGUGCCGUAAGGUGUCCUGUUAAGUCAGGCAACGAGCGAGACCUGUGCGCACAAUUGCAAACGAACUAUGUGAUCGAGCACAAUGUGCGGACUGCCUUGGAAACAAGGAGGAAGGUGCAGGCUACGAUAGGUCUGUAUGCCCCGAAUCUUCUGGGCUACACGCGCGCAACAAUGAUAAGGACAAUGGGCUGCAACACCGUAAGGUGAAGCUAAUCCUCGAAACCUUAUCCUACUACAGAUUGAGGGCUGUAACUCGCCCUCAUGACGCUGGAAUCCCUAGUAAUCAGAGGUCAUCAUCCUCUGGUGAAUAUGUCCCUGCUCCUUGUACACACCGCCCGUCAAACCAACCGAGCAUAGUUUAGGUGAGUAACAGCUUAAUUGGCUGUCCCGAAUCUAAGUUAAGUGAGGUGGGUUAAGUCGUCACAAGGUA